GACUCAUGGCUCAGUGGUUGAGCAUCGGCCAGGUAUGCUGUAAUAUAAAGGUUCGAUUCCUUACAGAGUCA
This is a non-coding RNA of Daphnia magna, 71 nucleotides long. The record is from Rfam. Lineage: Eukaryota; Metazoa; Arthropoda; Branchiopoda; Diplostraca; Daphniidae.